GGGGUCUUUACGGGUCCAGCACACACACAAAAGGCUACAUCUGAAACAGCACGUCGUAUUACAGGAUGUGGAAAACGCGAUUCUCAAUAAUCCCCUCCCCCUCUCCAUCCCUGCCCUACUCAGCGGUAUAUAUAAUCCGAUGACUUCUCUCCUUCUUCUUCUUCAUCUGUGACUAUUCAUUCUGUGUGGCACGUGAUGGCCGAGUUGAACAGGCUACAGAUGAAGAUGUGUCAGGCACAGACGAAAUUUCCCGUAAACAUCAGAGUCAGAGUGAGAAAGUGAGUGUAUGUGUGUGUGUGUGUGUGUGUGUGUGUGUGAGAGAGAGAGAGAGAGAGAGAGAGAGAGAGGGUGAGAUAGAGUGAGAAAGAAGACAGAGAGGGGGUCAGAUAGACAGAGAGAGGGGGAGAGAGAGAUAGAGUGAGAGAGAAGACAGACAGAGAGAGGGAGAAAGGGACAGAUAGACAAAGAGAGGGGAGAGAGACAGAGAGAGGGGGACAGAUAGAGAGAGGGGGAGAGAGGGACAGAUAGACAGAGAGAGGGGAGAGAGACAGAGAGGGACAGAUAGACAGAGCAAGGGGG
This is a long non-coding RNA of Ictalurus punctatus (channel catfish), 579 nucleotides long. NCBI's taxonomy places the organism in Eukaryota, Metazoa, Chordata, Actinopteri, Siluriformes, Ictaluridae. The record is from Ensembl.